CACAGCACCUGCUUGAACAGCCAAUUAUCUCCCUGCCUCAUCUCCAUCACUGUGCUUCCUCAAACUUCAGAGAGCUGUGGCCCGAACCCGCCCUCGGGGGUGCCAGGUCCUCUCUACCCCUCCUUCAUUUCUCUAAAUCCCAAGACUGGAGAUGCACACUUUCAAUCUGUGGAUAGUUCCAGUUUCAAAUGCAUGUUUCUUAUAGGCUGAAAAGUACUUUCAACCGAAAAGACACCCUUUUUACUUCCAGAAGAACCAGGAGGGGUACUCACCAGCUGCUGUCCCGCAGCAGGGAGGGACCCACCAGGCGGAGGAAAAGAUGGUGGCGAUCACCUCCUCGGGGAAGAGAGUGACAUUCCUCUGGAUCUGCAGCAGGUUGAGCACCAGGGCUAGGACCACCCCAACCGAGAAGAGCACGAGGCUCCUCUGCAACAGGCGAUGAUGCCAGGUGUUGGGGUAGGGGCUGCCGGGCUCGGGGCCGCUCAUCGCAGCACUGCGGCCCCUGGGCGCGGGGUCAGCGUCCGGGGCACCGUGGGCCGCCAG
RNAcentral lists this long non-coding RNA (543 nucleotides) under Homo sapiens (human). RNAcentral's name for it is "LHRI_LNC1367.1". The record is from RNAcentral. Lineage: Eukaryota; Metazoa; Chordata; Mammalia; Primates; Hominidae.